Long non-coding RNA from Cervus elaphus (red deer), 449 nucleotides. RefSeq lists it as uncharacterized. Lineage: Eukaryota; Metazoa; Chordata; Mammalia; Artiodactyla; Cervidae. The record is from RefSeq and is a predicted model, not a curated record. The transcript has 3 exons.
UGGCACACAACUAGCCUUACUGAAAGAUGAAAUGAGUAAAUAAUUGGCUGCAGAUUCAAUAAGUCUUUGGUACGUAAGGGAAGAAAACAGGCUGUGGACCCAACCGUGGAACCAGAACCAAAUCCUACAGGAUUCCCAAAAGAAAUAGGUUUCCAGAUAACAGAAUGUCCUAAACCACCCAGCCAAGGAGGGAUUGCUGUUUGCAAAACAGAAGUCAGCUGCCACGUUGUGGGGACUCUCAAGUGGAACUGUGGAAAGGCCAUGAGGAAAGGAACCAGCUUGCUAGACAUGGACGACCCACCUUGAAAGUAAAUCCUCCAGUACCAUCAAACCUCCAGAUGAAUGCAGACCCAGCAACUUUGUGAGAGACCUCAAGCAUGACCUGCCCAACCAAGAUGGUCCUGAAUUCCUGACCCAUCAAAACCACAAGAGAUAAUAAAGAAUUAUCA